Molecule: long non-coding RNA, 639 nt
Filed under: Equus asinus (donkey)
Lineage: Eukaryota; Metazoa; Chordata; Mammalia; Perissodactyla; Equidae
Description: lncRNA (ENSEASG00005037714.1)
Source: RNAcentral
GAGGGCUGGAGGGGACAGCUGUUCUGCCUCCUCAGGGAGACUGGGAAGGCUAACGGGGGCUCUGGAAUCCAAUAGAUCCAGGUGACAAUCUCCGACUGAUGUGGCCUUGGGCCACUGACUCUCCAUUUCUGAGGACAAUUUUCUCUUCUCUUGUAACCUGUUUUAGGACUGUUGUGAACAUUGAAUGGGAUAAUGUGGGUGCUUCUGUGGAUCCUAUGGCUCUGCGCCUCCGAGACUGGAAGCUACCAGGAGGAUGAGGUUUCUGACUACAGAUUGCUGAUGGUCUCCAGCUUGAAGCCUACAUUCAUAGGAACUGAAGUAAUGGAAGUGGAGGGAUCACCUCAUAGCAUCACCUGUCUCCUGGGCAGAGACUGAUCAUGCCUUCCCCUUAUUCAGCCCCUCAUUUUCCUUUUUAACAGAACCCCUACAUGAGCAGAGGUGACAAUGGGCCCAGGUAAAAACUGCUUUUCCAAUGAGAUGUAUGGGUGAGGAUUCUAGGAAAGCUCUUUUAAGAAGUUGACUCAACUGGAAGGUUCCAUGUUCCUAGCUUCUUUCUCUUUGUUGAGGAAUGAGAAUGUGAUGGCUAGAGCUCCAGCAUCCAGCUGGGAAGCCAAGAAGAUGAGGGGCAUGCCCAGGGAG